GCUUACGGCCAUACCACCCUGAACAUGUCCGAUCUCGGAAGCUAAGCAGGGUCGGGCCUGGUUAGUACUUGGAUGGGAGACCGCCUGGGAAUACCAGGUGCUGUAAGCU
This 109-nucleotide ribosomal RNA is filed under the name Labrus bergylta (ballan wrasse). Lineage: Eukaryota; Metazoa; Chordata; Actinopteri; Labriformes; Labridae. The record is from RNAcentral.